UUGAAUUGAAGAGUUUGAUCAUGGCUCAGAUUGAACGCUGGCGGCAGGCUUAACACAUGCAAGUCGAACGGUAACAUAAAGAAGCUUGCUUCUUUGAUGACGAGUGGCG
Molecule: ribosomal RNA, 109 nt
Filed under: Parahaemophilus parainfluenzae
Lineage: Bacteria; Pseudomonadati; Pseudomonadota; Gammaproteobacteria; Pasteurellales; Pasteurellaceae
Description: Haemophilus parainfluenzae partial 16S ribosomal RNA
Rfam family: Bacterial small subunit ribosomal RNA
Source: RNAcentral